This is a long non-coding RNA of Ruditapes philippinarum (Manila clam), 536 nucleotides long. RefSeq lists it as uncharacterized. The record is from RefSeq and is a predicted model, not a curated record. Lineage: Eukaryota; Metazoa; Mollusca; Bivalvia; Venerida; Veneridae. The transcript is spliced from 3 exons.
CCGAUUUGUGUAUCGACUACGACACUGCAUUGUGUUCAACAUUCGGCCGUCUUAACCCAGACGCAUGCAAAGAACAAAUAGUACUGAAUAGAUGCCCAUCGUCCUGCGCUACUUGUGCUCAUGUUGUAUGGGGCUCGUGGCAACCAUGGAGUAGCUGUUCGGCUCGUUGUGGGCUAGGUACAAGGAAACGGUCGAGAACAUGUCAUCGGCGUUUCAACUUUGUUGGGACUUGUGCUGGACCCUCGGUUAGCAGUUCGGCCUGUGAAGGACAGUACUGUCAAGUGAACGGUGGAUGGUGUUAUGAGACAUAUGACGACUGCAAAGAGGUCGGCACUUCAUGGCAAUUUCCUUUAGAAUGUACAAAAAGAAUUCACAAAACCACAUGUUCUUGUCCAUCGCCUCGAAACGGUGGUCUCCCAUGCAAAUAGAUUCGUAAAACAAUCGAGAUGUAAAUUUCAUCGUGUAAUGUUCAUAUCUUGGCGAUAUAAAGAAGGAAUAUUAAAUAUGAUAAUUCCUCUAUUGAUUAAAAAUAUAUU